RNAcentral lists this transfer RNA (96 nucleotides) under Halomonas elongata. Its description in RNAcentral is "tRNA-OTHER". The record is from RNAcentral. Lineage: Bacteria; Pseudomonadati; Pseudomonadota; Gammaproteobacteria; Oceanospirillales; Halomonadaceae.
CAGUGUCUGUUCCAGCAGGGUCGGAAAGCCGCUGCCGGCGGCGGCCUGGAACAGGCGGGCCAGGUGACGGUGCCAGGUCAGGCUGGCGGCAUUGGC